GAUGAACGCUGGCGGCGUGCCUAAUACAUGCAAGUCGAGCGAACAGACGAGGAGCUUGCUCCUCUGACGUUAGCGGCGGACGGGUGAGUAACACGUGGAUAACCUACCUAUAAGACUGGGAUAACUUCGGGAAACCGGAGCUAAUACCGGAUAAUAUAUUGAACCGCAUGGUUCAAUAAUGAAAGACGGGUUUGCUGUCACUUAUAGAUGGAUCCGCGCCGCAUUAGCUAGUUGGUAAGGUAACUGCUUACCAAGGCAACGAUGCGUAGCCGACCUGAGAGGGUGAAUGGCCACUCUGGAACUUAGACACGGGCCAGACUCCUACGAGAAGCCGCAGUAGGGAAUCUACCACAAUGGGCGAGAGCCUGACUGAGCAACACCGCGUGACUGAUGAAGUUCUCAGGAUCUGAAAACUCUGUUAUUAGGGAAGAACAAUUGUGUAAGUACCUAUGCACGUCUUGACGGUACCUAAUCAGAAAACCACGGCUACCUACGUG
RNAcentral lists this ribosomal RNA (497 nucleotides) under uncultured bacterium. Its description in RNAcentral is "partial 16S ribosomal RNA". It matches the Rfam family "Bacterial small subunit ribosomal RNA", at positions 28 to 507 of the family's 1533-position model. The record is from RNAcentral.